This 1289-nucleotide small RNA is filed under the name Histoplasma capsulatum var. duboisii H88. Its description in RNAcentral is "Histoplasma capsulatum H88 hypothetical RNA". Lineage: Eukaryota; Fungi; Ascomycota; Eurotiomycetes; Onygenales; Ajellomycetaceae. The record is from RNAcentral.
CGCUACUAUCUACUAAUAUCAUUAUUAUUAUUCCUUCUUUUUACUAUCUUCCACUAUUCACUCCUCUGAGAGUAUAAGAAUUCUGUGAGGGGUGAUAACAGUAUGAAGAGUGAAUAGCAGAAAAUAGUAGAAGAAGAUACCACCACACCCACGGGUAAAUAUACCACUAUGAGCGCAACCAUUUAACAAAUGGUUACGUUGGCCUUUUGCUAUGGAAAACCAGAACACAAUAAGGAAAUACUAAACCGGUACAUUACAAAUUCUAUCUAUAAUACAAAUUAAAAUUAUUUAGGAUAAUACCUGAAAUAUCUUUGUGGUAUGUUAUAGCCACUCUGUGUACACUGACAUAAACUCGCAUAACAGAAUAGAUGGAAAAAACGCUGCAAUUAAUGCUUAAAUCAUAAUAUAAAUGUACAUGUCCAUCACAAAUCAUUAUAUAUACACAAUAUCUGGACGUGGGGCGAGGUCAAUGUACGGAAUAGCUGUUAGUUAUUCAUAAGACAAGAAUUGAAUGUGAAGAACAUCCGCCAGCAAACACCACGCUAUAGCACGCGCAGCAACGGGACUGAAGCAAGACGGAAGUGUGGAGAGAGGGAGGAAAGAGCACUCGUCUGGGAGGCUUGAAAGGUUAUUUGAGGAAGUGAUAAAAAAUAGUUAUAAAGUAUCCACUCUCUCCAAGGCAUUCUUUGAAUCUUCACUUCUAUCAGAAAAAUAAGUGCCAGGUUUUCUCGAGGAAUGUUUUUUCGGAUGGAGAUCAAUAUUAAGACCGCGCGUGACCUGCGAGAUGAAGGGCAAACUAUACUUGUUAUCGGGGUCUGCAUCUGCAUCGCGUCUAGAGCUGGGAUUGCUAACGGCAACUCCCGUGCUCCGGCGACGAUCUCGACGAGCAGGCUGCGACCGACUUCGAUGCGAUGGGGAUUCAUUGACCGUAGCAUACUUUUUCUCUGAGGGUGAUCUAUUCGGGGGUGAUGGUAUAGGUACCUUGAUUACGACAUGGUUGGAACAAAUGCAGCCGCAGCCACUUGGGCAGAAUGGAUUAGUAGUCGUCCUUUUUGCUCUGGCAAAGCGAGGUUGUGUUGAGAACCAGUUCUGAUGACAGUUGACACAGGAAAUAUGCCCACAAUUUAAACACGGAGUAAACAUCCCAUCGAUGACCUCGCCACAAACAACACAUGAUAGCUUGGCUGGGAUUGGUUGUGAAAGUCUGCAUUGGGGGCAUUGAAUUGCAGGUGAAUCACCGCCUCGUGCUUUACUCCUGCGGCUGGGUUUUGCUAUGUCGGACAUUGCAA